RNAcentral lists this unclassified non-coding RNA (1335 nucleotides) under Dermacentor andersoni. RNAcentral's name for it is "uncharacterized LOC126521680". The record is from RNAcentral. Lineage: Eukaryota; Metazoa; Arthropoda; Arachnida; Ixodida; Ixodidae.
GUUGGUUCUUUAUUCGUCUGCUCCGGUUGCACGCCUGCCGUCCUCUUCCUGCUGCCCGCGUCCGCGAAAGUUUUGUUUGCAAAGUUUUGUUGUAAUUUAUUAAUUAGUAGCCAUAUCGCAGAAGAGUGCAGCUUCGACGCACUACGCACUGUACUUUCUGGACGGCAUCAUAAAAUACCAGGAAGUACCAGCUGUCAUUUGUGUUAGCUCGGUGCAAACACCAUGUCCCGGAAAAGCGCAGCAUCUGGAGGCUACAAGCGCAAGCUCAGCGGCAAGCCCGAGCCGAGCGAUGAACAGAAAAAUGACAUCAACGCCGCAUUCAAUUUAUUUGACCCCAGUGGCAGUGGUCUCAUGGAAGCGAAAGACUUGAAGUUCGCAAUGCGUGCACUGGGCUUCGAGCCUAGAAAAGAAGAGGUCAAGAAGCUGCUCGCAGAGAUAGACAAGCAAGAGACUGGCAAAAUAGCUCGAGAAGACUUCAUGAAUGUAAUGGCCACAAGAUUGGCAGAGAAGGACAUCAACGAAGAAAUUAUGAAAGCUUUCCAGUUGUUUGAUGAAGACAACACAGGCAAGAUUUCCUUUAAGAACCUCAAGAGUGUUGCAAAACAGCUCUCCGAGAAUCUAUCAGAUGAAGAACUGAAGGAGAUGAUAAACGAGGCUGACAGAGAUGGAGAUGGUGAAGUUAACCAGGAGGAGUUUCUUCGAAUCAUGAAGAAAACUUGCUUAUAUUGAACAUAAUCUGUGUUUCUUAUGCUACGGUUGACCAUCGAUGGCACAAAAUAUUUGUAAAAUUGAAGCAUCUGCCAACUCAAAGCCCAGCUGAGUGACUGCCGAAAAAUGACCUUUUCCAAAACCUAUGCUCCAUCUCAGGAGUACCUUGCAGCACUGUGAAAGCUGCAGGGCUCAUUAGCCAAUAGGAAAGGCGAAAGCCCCUCAAAAUGUGUUCAUCCGCACCGCGCCAUCUUCUCGGCGUCCCUUUUGCAUCUGCUCGCCUGCUUUGUUGGUACUUGCUCCUCGCAGUUAAUAUAGCUUGUUUAUUAUGCCUGAAAAUGUAAGUAAACCAUAAGGCUAAUACCCCCCCCCCCACCCCCCACACACACAAAGCAAGAUAAAGUGUGGCUAUAGUAAUGUGAAGUAUAUUACAGCAGUCGUGAACCAUGCAUUGUUACAUGCUACAACUAAAGUCAACACGCAUCAAUUAUUGUGCUGACGAAACUUGCGUUAUACUGAAGCCAGACACCUCAAUUUUCGCUUGCCCGGUACAGUUUGUGGGUGCCACAAUCUGUGACAUACUGCGUGUACUGACUUUAAAAACAAUAAAUGAAUAAACAAAAUGUU